This 531-nucleotide ribosomal RNA is filed under the name Acinetobacter septicus. RNAcentral describes it as "bacterial SSU rRNA". It matches the Rfam family "Bacterial small subunit ribosomal RNA", at positions 33 to 556 of the family's 1533-position model. The record is from RNAcentral. Lineage: Bacteria; Pseudomonadati; Pseudomonadota; Gammaproteobacteria; Moraxellales; Moraxellaceae.
ACGCUGGCGGCAGGCUUAACACAUGCAAGUCGAGCGGAGAGAAGUAGCUUGCUACUGAUCUUAGCGGCGGACGGGUGAGUAAUACUUAGGAAUCUGGCUAUUAGUGGGGGACAACAUUUCGAAAGGGAUGCUAAUACCGCAUACGUCCUACGGGAGAAAGCAGGGGAUCAGUAAUGACCUUGCGCUAAUAGAUGAGCCUAAGUCGGAUUAGCUAGUUGGUGGGGUAAAGGCCUACCAAGGCGACGAUCUGUAGCGGGUCUGAGAGGAUGAUCCGCCACACUGGGACUGAGACACGGCCCAGACUCCUACGGGAGGCAGCAGUGGGGAAUAUUGGACAAUGGGGGGAACCCUGAUCCAGCCAUGCCGCGUGUGUGAAGAAGGCCUUAUGGUUGUAAAGCACUUUAAGCGAGGAGGAGGGUACUGGUAUUAAUACUACCAGCUACUGGACGUUACUCGCAGAAUAAGCACCGGCUAACUCUGUGCCAGCAGCCGCGGUAAUACAGAGGGUGCGAGCGUUAAUCGGAUUUACUG